Molecule: ribosomal RNA, 973 nt
Filed under: uncultured Actinomycetes bacterium
Lineage: Bacteria; Bacillati; Actinomycetota; Actinomycetes
Description: bacterial SSU rRNA
Rfam family: Bacterial small subunit ribosomal RNA
Source: RNAcentral
UUGCACAAUGGGCGCAAGCUGAUGCAGCGACGCCGCGUGGGGGAUGACGGCCUUCGGGUUGUAAACCUCUUUCAGUAUCGGCGAACUUCGGGGUUUUCCUCGGGGUGACGGUAGGUACAGAAGAAGCACCGGCCAACUACGUGCCAGCAGCCGCGGUAAUACGUAGGGUGCGAGCGUUGUCCGGAAUUACUGGGCGUAAAGAGCUCGUAGGUGGUUUGUCGCGUUGUUCGUGAAAACUCACAGCUUAACUGUGGGCGUGCGGGCGAUACGGGCAGACUGGAGUACUGUAGGGGAGACUGGAAUUCCUGGUGUAGCGGUGGAAUGCGCAGAUAUCAGGAGGAACACCGGUGGCGAAGGCGAGUCUCUGGGCAGUAACUGACGCUGAGGAGCGAAAGCGUGGGGAGCGAACAGGAUUAGAUACCCUGGUAGUCCACGCCGUAAACGGUGGGUACUAGGUGUGGGUUUCCUUCCUUAGGGAUCCGUGCCGUAGCUAACGCAUUAAGUACCCCGCCUGGGGAGUACGGCCGCAAGGCUAAAACUCAAAGGAAUUGACGGGGGCCCGCACAAGCGGCGGAGCAUGUGGAUUAAUUCGAUGCAACGCGAAGAACCUUACCUGGGUUUGACAUGCACAGGACGCCAGCAGAGAUGUUGGUUCCCUUGUGGCCUGUGUGCAGGUGGUGCAUGGCUGUCGUCAGCUCGUGUCGUGAGAUGUUGGGUUAAGUCCCGCAACGAGCGCAACCCUUGUUCCAUGUUGCCAGCGCGUCAUGGCGGGGACUCAUGGGAGACUGCCGGGGUCAACUCGGAGGAAGGUGGGGAUGACGUCAAGUCAUCAUGCCCCUUAUGUCCAGGGCUUCACACAUGCUACAAUGGCCGGUACAAAGGGCUGCGAUGCCGUGAGGUUUAGCGAAUCCUUUAAAGCCGGUCUCAGUUCGGAUCGGGGUCUGCAACUCGACCCCGUGAAGUCGGAGUCGCU